Molecule: transfer RNA, 61 nt
Filed under: Levilactobacillus bambusae
Lineage: Bacteria; Bacillati; Bacillota; Bacilli; Lactobacillales; Lactobacillaceae
Rfam family: tRNA
About the family: Transfer RNA (tRNA) molecules are approximately 80 nucleotides in length. Their secondary structure includes four short double-helical elements and three loops (D, anti-codon, and T loops). Further hydrogen bonds mediate the characteristic L-shaped molecular structure. tRNAs have two regions of fundamental functional importance: the anti-codon, which is responsible for specific mRNA codon recognition, and the 3' end, to which the tRNAs corresponding amino acid is attached (by aminoacyl-tRNA synthetases). tRNAs cope with the degeneracy of the genetic code in two manners: having more than one tRNA (with a specific anti-codon) for a particular amino acid; and 'wobble' base-pairing, i.e. permitting non-standard base-pairing at the 3rd anti-codon position.
Source: Rfam by way of RNAcentral
UGGGACAUAGCUCAGUUGGUAGAGCGAUUAGUUGUCGACGGUUCGAGUCCGUCUGUCCCAG